GACGAACGCUGGCGGCGUGCUUAACACAUGCAAGUCGAACGGAAAGGCCCUGCUUUUGUGGGGUGCUCGAGUGGCGAACGGGUGAGUAACACGUGAGUAACCUGCCCUUGACUUUGGGAUAACUUCAGGAAACUGGGGCUAAUACCGGAUAGGAGCUCCUGCUGCAUGGUGGGGGUUGGAAAGUUUCGGCGGUUGGGGAUGGACUCGCGGCUUAUCAGCUUGUUGGUGGGGUAGUGGCUUACCAAGGCUUUGACGGGUAGCCGGCCUGAGAGGGUGACCGGCCACAUUGGGACUGAGAUACGGCCCAGACGCAUACGGGAGGCAGCAGUGGGGAAUAUUGCACAAUGGGCGGAAGCCUGAUGCAGCAACGCCGCGUGCGGGAUGACGGCCUUCGGGUUGUAAACCGCUUUCGCCUGUGACGAAGCGUGAGUGACGGUAAUGGGUAAAGAAGCACCGGCUAACUACG
This 466-nucleotide ribosomal RNA is filed under the name uncultured bacterium. Its description in RNAcentral is "partial 16S ribosomal RNA". It matches the Rfam family "Bacterial small subunit ribosomal RNA", at positions 28 to 505 of the family's 1533-position model. The record is from RNAcentral.